RNAcentral lists this long non-coding RNA (222 nucleotides) under Lotus japonicus. RNAcentral describes it as "long non-coding RNA (LJAP_LNC000330)". The record is from RNAcentral. Lineage: Eukaryota; Viridiplantae; Streptophyta; Magnoliopsida; Fabales; Fabaceae.
ACAAUAAAAUCAACCAUGAAUUCUCUUUUACAAUACCUAACCUACAUUUACCAUAAUUUCAAGCACAACCUUGUAUGAGAAACAAAGACAAAAACACUAAAAAUGUCACAAGAGCCCAACCAAUCCAUAAAUAUUUGUCCUAUAGACUAGUCCAAUGCAAUUCAUGUAUACUAAAUUAAAGAAGAGUUUAGCAUAUCAUACAUCUACAUGCUCUGAUUUNNN